Small nucleolar RNA from Prolemur simus (greater bamboo lemur), 132 nucleotides. The record is from Ensembl. Lineage: Eukaryota; Metazoa; Chordata; Mammalia; Primates; Lemuridae.
GUGCACAUUUCAUUGACCUGCUUUCUUUUGCAUAUGUGAGCAGUGUUAUUUCUUAUGUGCUAUACAAGUAGUUGAAGGCUAAUUAGCAGUAUAACUAUAAAUAGUAAUGCUGCCAGUCUCCUUCAGACAAAA